CCUACGGGAGGCAGCAGUGGGGAAUAUUGGACAAUGGGCGAAAGCCUGAUCCAGCAAUUCCGCGUGUGUGAAGAAGGCCUUCGGGUUGUAAAGCACUUUAGUUGGGAAGAAACAGCUUGGCCACACCAAGCCUUGACGGUACCCAAAGAAUAAGCACCGGCUAACUCUGUGCCAGCAGCCGCGGUAAUACAGAGGGUGCAAGCGUUAAUCGGAUUUACUGGGCGUAAAGGGUGCGUAGGUGGUUUGUAAGUCGGAUGUGAAAGCCUGGGGCUCAACCUCAGAAUUGCACUCGAUACUGCAAGACUAGAGUUCGGUAGAGGGCGGCGGAAUUCCCGGUGUAGCGGUGAAAUGCGUAGAUAUCAGGAGGAACAUCAAUGGCGAAGGCAGCCGCCUGGGCCUGAACUGACACUGAGACACGAAAGCGUGGGUAGCAAACAGGAUUAGAUACCCUGGUAGUCCCGACGCUAGUAACGAGUAGAGAACGUACGUACGUUACGGUUUCGGUUUUACGUUAACGUUACGGUUGGUCGUCGAGCGUAACGACGAGUAAGUUACGUUCCGUCCGUCGGGUAGGGUACGGGCCGGCCGACGGUUAAGGUAACGUACGUUAAAGAAAGUUAGUUACGGUUCGUGAGACGNGCGACGGACGACGACGAGGGAGGAGG
This 665-nucleotide ribosomal RNA is filed under the name uncultured bacterium. Its description in RNAcentral is "bacterial SSU rRNA". The stretch from base 1 to 519 matches the Rfam family "Bacterial small subunit ribosomal RNA", at positions 338 to 873 of the family's 1533-position model. The record is from RNAcentral.